This 63-nucleotide transfer RNA is filed under the name Hylastes attenuatus. RNAcentral's name for it is "tRNA-Glu". Lineage: Eukaryota; Metazoa; Arthropoda; Insecta; Coleoptera; Curculionidae. The record is from RNAcentral.
AUUUAUAUAGUUUAUUUAAAACAUUACAUUUUCACUGUAAAAAUAAAUCUUAUUUUAUAAAUA